CCUACGGGUGGCUGCAGUGAGGGAUAUUGGUCAAUGGGGGAAACACUGAACCAGCAACGCAGCGUGCGGGAUGACGGUUCUCGGAUUUUAAAACUCUGUCUACUGUGAAGAUAAUGACGGUAGCAGAGGAGGAAGCUCCGGCUAACUACGUGCCAGCCGCCGCGGUAAUACGUAGGGAGCGGGCGUUGUCCGGAUGUACUGGGUUUAAAGGGUGCGUAGGCGGGUAAGCAAGUCAGAAGUGAAAUCCAUGGGCUUAACCCAUGAACUGCUUUUGAAACUGUUUAUCUUGAGUGAAGUCGAGGUAGGCGGAAUUCGUGGUGUAGCGGUGAAAUGCGUAGAGAUCGCGAGGAACACCAGUGGCGAAGGCGGCCUACUGGGCUUUAACUGACGCUGAAGCACGAAAGCGUGGGUAGCGAACAGGAUUAGAUACCCCAGUAGUC
This 440-nucleotide ribosomal RNA is filed under the name uncultured bacterium. RNAcentral's name for it is "partial 16S ribosomal RNA". It matches the Rfam family "Bacterial small subunit ribosomal RNA", at positions 338 to 795 of the family's 1533-position model. The record is from RNAcentral.